GGGGUGCAGGUCAAGUGAUCAAUGUCUCUUAUUGGCUGUUCACGGCCAAGCCACAGUAGGCCAGGUAUGUGGCGACAUUAAAGGCGGGGUGGGUGGGUUAGCUGGCCCGUGGCUUUCAAACAUAUCAGCAAUCAGCACUAAAUUUUGGUGCUCGUUGGUUCUCCAAAAUCACUUAUCCGAUUCUAAAUUAAGCCGCAAGAACGGAAAGAUUAUUGCAGAACUUUGAUGUAUUAUCU
This 236-nucleotide long non-coding RNA is filed under the name Elaeis guineensis (African oil palm). RNAcentral describes it as "long non-coding RNA (EGUI_LNC015384)". The record is from RNAcentral. Lineage: Eukaryota; Viridiplantae; Streptophyta; Magnoliopsida; Arecales; Arecaceae.